CGUACACUCCUGCGGGAGGCAGCAGUGGGGAAUUUUGGACAAUGGGCGAAAGCCUGAUCCAGCCAUGCCGCGUGCAGGAUGAAGGCCUUCGGGUUGUAAACUGCUUUUGUACGGAACGAAACGGCCUUUUCUAAUAAAGAGGGCUAAUGACGGUACCGUAAGAAUAAGCACCGGCUAACUACGUGCCAGCAGCCGCGGUAAUACGUAGGGUGCAAGCGUUAAUCGGAAUUACUGGGCGUAAAGCGUGCGCAGGCGGUUAUGUAAGACAGUUGUGAAAUCCCCGGGCUCAACCUGGGAACUGCAUCUGUGACUGCAUAGCUAGAGUACGGUAGAGGGGGAUGGAAUUCCGCGUGUAGCAGUGAAAUGCGUAGAUAUGCGGAGGAACACCGAUGGCGAAGGCAAUCCCCUGGACCUGUACUGACGCUCAUGCACGAAAGCGUGGGGAGCAAACAGGAUUAGAUACCCCAGUAGUCCCAUGA
This 479-nucleotide ribosomal RNA is filed under the name uncultured organism. Its description in RNAcentral is "partial 16S ribosomal RNA". It matches the Rfam family "Bacterial small subunit ribosomal RNA", at positions 330 to 800 of the family's 1533-position model. The record is from RNAcentral.